GUCCUUAAACCCUAAAUCCUCGUCGAGCUGCGGUGGAUGGCGCAGACGGAGACUGCCCCUCGCCCUCCUCGUCUUCUCGCUGCCUGUGUCUGUAUCGUGACCCUGUUUUCUUCUUCCUCCUCCUCGUCCCUGGAUUUGCACAAUCCUCUUGCCCACUUGACGCUGCUGUAGCCAUGACGAUUGCUAAGCCAGGCACGCCGGGGGCUCUGUCCAUAUGCGAGAAUGUUGUGGUGGUGCUCGAUUUUGGGUCGCAGUAUACCCACCUCAUCACGCGGCGAAUUCGUGGCCUGCACAUCUCCUCGUUUUGCUUGCCUGCGGGGACGCCGCUUGACAAGAUCCAGGCUCUGAAGCCUUCUGUUAUUAUCCUCUCGGGUGGUCCGCACUCCGUGCACCUCGAAAAUUCCCCAACUCUUCCCGAGGAGUUCUUUUCUUACGUACAAGAGCAAGGGAUCACUGUGUUGGGAAUUUGCUAUGGGUUACAUUUAAUUGUGAAGUUGCUCGGAGGCGAGGUGAAGCAGGCUGAGCACCAGGAGUAUGGUCGUAUGCAGAUCUCUGCCGUCGAGGGGAGCCGCCUAUAUGGCGACGCUGGGUCUAUUAACAAUCAGACCGUGUGGAUGAGCCACGGUGAUGAGGCUGUGAAGCUGCCGCCUGGGUUCAAAGUUGUGGCCACUAGUACGCAGGGUAAUAUUGCCGCUAUUGAAAAUGUGGAUUCCAGAAUCUACGCCCUCCAAUACCAUCCCGAGGUUACGCACUCAGAGAAAGGGACAGAGACUUUGAGACACUUUUUCCUGAAUGUCUGCGGCAUGAAGGCUGACUGGCAGAUGCAGAAUGUGUUGGAGGAAGAGAUUAAAAAGGUCACUGCGACCGUCGGCCCAGAUGAUCAUGUUAUUUGUGCACUCUCCGGGGGCGUGGACUCAACAGUAGCAGCUACUCUGGUGCACCGUGCUAUUGGAGAUCGCCUUCAUUGUGUGUUUGUAGAUAAUGGCCUUUGCAGAUACAAGGAAAGAGAAAGAGUGAUGGCCACAUUUGUGAAAGACCUUCAUCUGCCAGUCACUUGUGUGGAUGCCACUGAGCAGUUUCUCAGCAAAUUGAAGGGCGUGGUAGAUCCAGAGAGAAAGAGGAAGAUCAUCGGAGCAGAGUUUAUUGCAGUCUUUGAUGAAUUUUCGCACAGAUUGGAGAGAGAGAUUGGAAAGAUGCCUGCUUUCCUUGUGCAGGGAACACUUUAUCCAGAUGUCAUUGAGUCGUGUCCUCCUCCAGGGAGCGGGAAGUCGCAUUCCCACACAAUCAAAAGUCAUCACAACGUCGGUGGCUUGCCCGAGAACAUGAAAUUGAAGUUGGUUGAGCCUCUCAAGUGGCUCUUCAAAGACGAGGUACGCGAAAUGGGUGCAUUGUUGGAUGUACCUGUUUCCUUUUUGAAGCGCCAUCCUUUCCCUGGACCUGGAUUGGCCGUGCGAAUUCUUGGGGAUGUAACUCAGGACGGCGCACUCGACACUAUCCGCUUGGUUGAUGAGAUCUUUGUGAACAGCAUUCGAGAGGCAGGUCUUUACGAUAAGAUCUGGCAGGCAUUUGCUGUUUAUCUGCCAGUAAAGACUGUUGGCGUUCAAGGCGACAAACGGACACAUUCACACGCUGUUGCUCUACGUGCAAUUACAAGUGAAGACGGAAUGACUGCUGACUGGUUUCAUUUUGAUGGAAAGUUUCUUGCCGAGGUAUCAUCUAAAAUCUGCAACAGCGUAAGGGGUAUCAAUAGGGUGGUAUACGACAUUACGUCUAAACCUCCAUCAACUGUUGAGUGGGAAUAGACGUCAGUAAUGUAUUUUGGAAGUACUGUUGGUUAUGACGAUUCACUGCAAUACUUAACAAACUAUUUUAUACUUCAUUUGGGAAUUUUGUUCCUUCUUUAAUCUUUGCGACGAAUCACUGGAUAGGAGCAGCACAUUGUACGAAUUAUCGCUGAAGUUUCUGGGCUGUACAGAGCGUUGCUUCAAUUCCGUUAAUUGAUUUCUCAAUAUUUGCAGUUAAGAGCUGAUAGGUGGCAGGGCGUUGGUUCGUCGCUUAAACGCUUAAUCUCUUAGGACUCGGAUCGACUUUUUUGUCGAGUGGAAUGUCGGUGUAGGACUUAAUUUGAGGUGAACAUAAUGCAAAAGUUUCCCUUACGUCAUCUUA
Non-coding RNA from Physcomitrium patens, 2166 nucleotides. Lineage: Eukaryota; Viridiplantae; Streptophyta; Bryopsida; Funariales; Funariaceae. The record is from RefSeq and is a predicted model, not a curated record.